This is a long non-coding RNA of Sciurus carolinensis (gray squirrel), 2080 nucleotides long. RefSeq lists it as uncharacterized. The record is from RefSeq and is a predicted model, not a curated record. NCBI's taxonomy places the organism in Eukaryota, Metazoa, Chordata, Mammalia, Rodentia, Sciuridae. The transcript has 3 exons.
CUCACCCAGAGGGCUGGGCCCAGGGAGGGAGCAGGUGCCCCCUCUUGUCCCUCUCUUCUCUUGCUGUCACCACAGUUGGCUGCUGCCACUCUGCAUUUACCCUGUGUGAUCAAGGGGUCUUGCUAAGUUGUUGAGGCUAGCUUUGAACCUGUGAUCUUCCUGCCUCAGCUUCCCAAGCCACUGGGAUUACAGACAAUUACUCCAGAAGUGGAUAUGCCUUCCCUGUCCUUGGGUCUUCUGCCAGCACCACCAUUCCUGGACUCAUGGCAAACCUUUUCGUGGCAAUCUGGACAGCCUGGUGUCUGACUGACUAACUCAUUUCCAGCAAAGGAAGAGCAGAAGUGGUCCCAUGUUCAUGGAAUUCAUUGGCCUUACUGUGUAUCCUAUUUCUCUAAAACUUUCCACCACCCCAUCCCAACCACCAUUGGGAAACACAUUCCAUGCCUUGUCCUUUCAUUAACAGCUUUAGGGCUUAAGAAGAGACAUAGGAAUUGGGGUCCCCUCCACAUAGGUCACAACCUAGGGCCAGGAAACUUUGUAUUCCAAGAAACAAGCUAUUUGGAAUCACAGAAUGUCUGAUGAAAAGUCCUUCCAAAUCCUUUUGUCCAAGUUCUUAUGUUAUAGCUGGGGACACAGACCAAUAGGGAGGUGGCUUGCCUGGAGCCACAUGGUAAAAGAGUGACUAUCCUCUCCUCAUUCACUCUACAUCUUGUCCCAGAAGUCAAGCAGGUUGGGAUCUGUGGGUUUAACUCCUCUGAGGGGGCCCAAAGAGCUGAGCAUCCUGUCUGUCCAUUCCUGGUAGUGGGGUGAACUAACUCCUAGUUCCCCUCGCUUGCUCCUCUCUGGCAGGGCCUCCAGGUCCCUCAUGUUCUUGCAGUCAAUUUCUGAUCCUUGUUCCCUCGUUGCCUCCCUUCUUGGGCUUACGCUCUCCUCACCCCAUCCUACUCCAUGUUUCACAGCUCCUUCACAUGCCCACAAAUCCCACUGCACAGCAUCAGGGCCCUGGCUGGGCUGGGCUACACCCACCCACAUUGAGAGGACAUCCUUAAGUUCUUGUUCUCCAGGAUAACCAAGGGCUUUCUCAUGGGAAGACAGUUCAUAGGGUACCUCUGGUUUGCAAGGAGUGGCAGCUCCUACUGACAAAAGCCUAGGAUGUGGGUAUUAGUAAGUAUGUAGAAAUGUUUCCUAGGAAGGAACAAUUGUGAGCAAGGAUCUGUGUCUGGUUGGGAUAUAUGCUGGGGGGAGGGUUAUCAGGAACCCCUGGGUGGAACAGGGGCAAGGAGAAAGUAGUGGGAAAAAGGAUAGGCAUAUCAUGGAGCCAACAACCUGACUGAUGACAGGUGUGUAGCACUGUCAUUGGGGCUGAGAAACGGGCUGGGAUGUUCAUAGAAUGGGAGAAGUAAGACUCUCCAAAGGUAGCAAAGAACCUCUAGAGUACACAUUUGCAACUUAUUAUUUUUCUUAGGUAUUGGGGGUUCAACCUGGAGGCACUUUACCACUAAGCCACAUCCCCAGCCAUUUUCAAAAUUUGUUUUAUUUUGAGACAGGGUCUCGCUAAGUCUCCAGGCUGGCCUUGAACUUGGGAUCCUCCUGCUUCAGGUCCCAUGUAGCUGGGAUUAUAAGUGUGUGCCACAACACCAGGCUUAUUGCCUUUAUUUUCUUCAUAGUUUUAUUCCAUUUGACCAUAUCCCUAAAUAAUAUAGUCAAUCCUGCAUGUUGGGUCUUAUUUCAUGUGGUAAAAUUCACAGAGCAUAAAACUAACCAUUUUAAAGUGAAAAUUUUAAUGGCAUUUAACACAUUAAUAAUGUUGUGCAACCAUCACCUCUAUCUAGUUCCAAACAUUUUCAUCACCUUGAAGGGAAACUCUGUAUCCCUUAAGCAAUCACUCAUCAUUUCCCCCCAGCUUUCCAACCACCAGUCUGCUGUCUCUAUGAAUUUGCCUAUUCUGGACAUUUCAUAUAAAUGGAAUUAUAAAAUAUGUGAUCCUCUAUAUCUGGCUUCUUAGUAUAAUGUUUUCUUUUUCCUUUUUCUUUUUGAUACCAGGAAUUGAACCCAGAGGCACUUAACCACUGAGCCACAU